RNAcentral lists this small nuclear RNA (148 nucleotides) under Eptatretus burgeri (inshore hagfish). RNAcentral's name for it is "U2 spliceosomal RNA (ENSEBUG00000000221.1)". It matches the Rfam family "U2 spliceosomal RNA", at positions 38 to 192 of the family's 192-position model. From Rfam's summary of the family: U2 is a small nuclear RNA (snRNA) component of the spliceosome (involved in pre-mRNA splicing). Lineage: Eukaryota; Metazoa; Chordata; Myxini; Myxiniformes; Myxinidae. The record is from RNAcentral.
AUCUGUUCUUAUCAGUUUCAUAGCUGAUAUGUCCCGCAAUGCGGGACUAGUCUAUUAAAUGGAUUUUUGGUAUCGGGAGUUGGAUUAGGGGCUUGCUCCGUCCGCUCCACACAGACCCGGUAUUGCAGUACUGAUACAAGCUUCUUGA